RNAcentral lists this ribosomal RNA (429 nucleotides) under Fusobacteriota bacterium. RNAcentral's name for it is "Fusobacteria bacterium partial 16S ribosomal RNA". It matches the Rfam family "Bacterial small subunit ribosomal RNA", at positions 355 to 776 of the family's 1533-position model. The record is from RNAcentral. Lineage: Bacteria; Fusobacteriati; Fusobacteriota.
UGGGGAAUAUUGCGCAAUGGGCGAAAGCCUGACGCAGCGACGCCGCGUGAGGGAUGAAGGUUUUCGGAUCGUAAACCUCUGUCAGAAGGGAAGAAACCGCACUGUGCUAAUCAGCAGUGCCUUGACGGUACCUUCAAAGGAAGCACCGGCUAACUCCGUGCCAGCAGCCGCGGUAAUACGGAGGGUGCAAGCGUUAAUCGGAAUUACUGGGCGUAAAGCGCACGUAGGCUGCUUUGUAAGUCAGGGGUGAAAUCCCACGGCUCAACCGUGGAACUGCCUUUGAUACUGCUUAGCUUGAAUCCGGGAGAGGGUGGCGGAAUUCCAUGUGUAGGAGUGAAAUCCGUAGAUAUCUGGAGGAAAAUCAGUGGCGAAGGCGGCCACCUGGACCGGUAUUGACGCUGAGGUGCGAAAGCGUGGGGAGCAAACAGG